RNAcentral lists this ribosomal RNA (1432 nucleotides) under metagenome. Its description in RNAcentral is "bacterial SSU rRNA". It matches the Rfam family "Bacterial small subunit ribosomal RNA". The record is from RNAcentral.
AGAGUUUGAUCCUGGCUCAGAAUGAACGCUGGCGGCGCGCUUAACACAUGCAAGUCGAACGGUAACAGGAGGAAGCUUGCUUUCUUGCUGACGAGUGGCGCACGGGUGAGUAAUGCAUAGGUAACGUGCCCCUUAGUCUGGGAUAGCCACUGGAAACGGUGAUUAAUACUAGACACGCCUUCUCUCUUGAUGAGAGUUGGGAAAGUUUUUCGCUAAGGGAUCGGCCUAUGUUGUAUCAGGUAGUUGGUGAGGUAAUGGCUCACCAAGCCUAUGACACAUAGCGGGUCUGAGAGGAUGAUCCGCCACACUGGUACUGAGACACGGACCAGACUCCUACGGGAGGCAGCAGUGGGGAAUAUUGCACAAUGGACGAAAGUCUGAUGCAGCAACGCCGCGUGGAGGAUGACACAUUUCGGUGCGUAAACUCCUUUUAUAUGAGAAGAUAAUGACGGUAUCAUAUGAAUAAGCACCGGCUAACUCCGUGCCAGCAGCCGCGGUAAUACGGAGGGUGCAAGCGUUAUUCGGAAUCACUGGGCGUAAAGGGUGCGUAGGCGGUUUGGAAAGUCAGAUGUGAAAGGCUACAGCUUAACUGUAGAACUGCAUUUGAAACUUCCAGACUAGAAUACUGAAGGUGCAGAUGGAAUUAGUGGUGUAGGGGUAAAAUCCGUAGAUAUCACUAGGAAUACCGAAAGCGAAAGCGAUCUGCUGGGAAGUUAUUGACGCUGAGGCACGAAAGCGUGGGGAGCAAACGGGAUUAGAUACCCCGGUAGUCCACGCCCUAAACGAUGAAUGCUAGUCGUCGGAAAGCUCGUCUUUACGGUGAUGCAGUUAACACAUUAAGCAUUCCGCCUGGGGAGUACGGUCGCAAGAUUAAAACUCAAAGGAAUAGACGGGGACCCGCACAAGUGGUGGAGCAUGUGGUUUAAUUCGAAAAUACGCGAAGAACCUUACCUAGCCUUGACAUUGAUAGAAUCUGGUAGAGAUACCGGAGUGCCUGCUUGCAGGAGCUUGAAAACAGGUGCUGCACGGCUGUCGUCAGCUCGUGUCGUGAGAUGGGUUAAGUCCCGCAACGAGCGCAACCCUCGUCGUUAGUUGCUAACAGUUCGGCCGAGCACUCUAGCGAGACUGCCUUCGCAAGGAGGAGGAAGGUGAGGACGACGUCAAGUCAUCAUGGCCCUUAUGGCUAGGGCUACACACGUGCUACAAUGGGGCGUACAGAGAGUUGCGAUACCGCGAGGUGGAGCUAAUCUCACAAAGCGUCUCUCAGUUCGGAUUGUUCUCUGCAACUCGAGAACAUGAAGCUGGAAUCACUAGUAAUCGUAGAUCAGCAAUGCUACGGUGAAUACGUUCCCGGGUCUUGUACUCACCGCCCGUCACACCAUGGGAGUUGAUUUCACCCGAAAUCGGGAAGCGAACCUUCGGGACGCUACCG